CUGAAUAUUAAAUGGCCGCAGUAUUUUAACUGUGCAAAGGUAGCAUAAUCAUUAGUUUUUUAAUUGAAAGCUUGAAUGAAUGGUUGGACGAAAUAUUUACUGUUUCUAAUAAAUUGCAAUAAAAUUUUAUUUUUUAGUUAAAAAGCUAAAAUUUUAUUAAAAGACGAAAAGACCCUAUAAAUCUUAAUAUUAAAAUAAUUAUAAUUAUAUAGAUUAAUUAAAUUAUUAUUAUAUAAUAUUUUAUUGGGGUGAUAUUAAAAUUUAUUAAACUUUUAAUAAUUAAUUACAAUAAUUAAUGAGUUAUUGAUCCAUUUAUUAUGAAUCAAAAAAUAAGAUACUUUAGGGAUAACAGCGUAAUUUUUUUAAAGAGUUCUAAUCGAUAAAAAAGAUUGCGACCUCGAUGUUGGAUUAAGAUAUAAUUUUAGGUGCAGUAAUUAAAAAUUUUGGUCUGUUCGACCUAUAAAUUCUUACAUGAUCUGA
Molecule: ribosomal RNA, 480 nt
Filed under: Phoridae sp. H18
Lineage: Eukaryota; Metazoa; Arthropoda; Insecta; Diptera; Phoridae
Description: partial 16S ribosomal RNA
Rfam family: Bacterial large subunit ribosomal RNA (bases 345-480)
Source: RNAcentral